AGAGUGAUGGAUCUUGGAAAAUCUGUGAGGCUUCUGUACGGGACUUGACAUGAUUAUUGUCAAAAGAGACAACUUAUUCAUCGGCUGAUAGCUCACAGGGCGCUGUUAAUUUUAUAAGGUUCGACAUGGCUGGCUCUGUUAAUUUUACAAGGUUCGACACGGCUGGCUUGAUACGCCAUUAAAUCAAUUUGAGGUAUCUUGCAAUGGCUUGCGAUGCCCGAGCUGCUCAUGGUGGCCACCGGAUACCUUACAUGACAAAGUAGCUGCUGAUAGCCUGAUAUGCCACAUUUGUACAGACUCUAACCAAACCUGAUAUCACAUGCUUUUAUCUGUUUCCUGAUAUGGUUUGAAUUUGCGGGACCUUUUUUAGUCGUGCCCUUUUUUAGUUGUGCGAGAGGCCAUCUGCGUCUAAAUUGUGGCGCCAUUGUUCAAAGAACAAUGUAAAUUAAUCUGCUCCUGUGUCUGUGUGGUUGUGUUCAACGGU
Molecule: small RNA, 484 nt
Filed under: Oryza sativa Japonica Group (Japanese rice)
Lineage: Eukaryota; Viridiplantae; Streptophyta; Magnoliopsida; Poales; Poaceae
Description: sRNA Os04g0676000
Source: RNAcentral